RNAcentral lists this transfer RNA (69 nucleotides) under Comanthus sp. 2 MS-2014. RNAcentral's name for it is "tRNA-Pro". It matches the Rfam family "tRNA". Rfam says of the family: Transfer RNA (tRNA) molecules are approximately 80 nucleotides in length. Their secondary structure includes four short double-helical elements and three loops (D, anti-codon, and T loops). The record is from RNAcentral. Lineage: Eukaryota; Metazoa; Echinodermata; Crinoidea; Comatulida; Comatulidae.
CAAGAAAUAGUUUAAAUAAAAUAGUAGCUUUGGGUGUUAUUGAUAAAAGUUUAAUCCUUUUUUUCUUGA